RNAcentral lists this ribosomal RNA (1371 nucleotides) under uncultured bacterium. RNAcentral's name for it is "bacterial SSU rRNA". It matches the Rfam family "Bacterial small subunit ribosomal RNA", at positions 28 to 1381 of the family's 1533-position model. The record is from RNAcentral.
GAUGAACGCUGGCGGCGUGCCUAAUACAUGCAAGUCGAGCGAACGGACGAGAAGCUUGCUUCUCUGAUGUUAGCGGCGGACGGGUGAGUAACACGUGGAUAACCUACCUAUAAGACUGGGAUAACUUCGGGAAACCGGAGCUAAUACCGGAUAAUAUUUUGAACCGCAUGGUUCAAAAGUGAAAGACGGUCUUGCUGUCACUUAUAGAUGGAUCCGCGCUGCAUUAGCUAGUUGGUAAGGUAACGGCUUACCAAGGCAACGAUGCAUAGCCGACCUGAGAGGGUGAUCGGCAACACUGGAACUGAGACACGGUCCAGACUCCUACGGGAGGCAGCAGUAGGGAAUCUUCCGCAAUGGGCGAAAGCCUGACGGAGCAACGCCGCGUGAGUGAUGAAGGUCUUCGGAUCGUAAAACUCUGUUAUUAGGGAAGAACAUAUGUGUAAGUAACUGUGCACAUCUUGACGGUACCUAAUCAGAAAGCCACGGCUAACUACGUGCCAGCAGCCGCGGUAAUACGUAGGUGGCAAGCGUUAUCCGGAAUUAUUGGGCGUAAAGCGCGCGUAGCGGUUUUUUAAGUCUGAUGUGAAAGCCCACGGCUCACCCGUGGAGGGUCAUUGGAAACUGGAAAACUUGAGUGCAGAAGAGGAAAGUGGAAUUCCAUGUGUAGCGGUGAAAUGCGCAGAGAUAUGGAGGAACACCAGUGGCGAAGGCGACUUUCUGGUCUGUAACUGACGCUGAUGUGCGAAAGCGUGGGGAUCAAACAGGAUUAGAUACCCUGGUAGUCCACGCCGUAAACGAUGAGUGCUAAGUGUUAGGGGGUUUCCGCCCCUUAGUGCUGCAGCUAACGCAUUAAGCACUCCGCCUGGGGAGUACGACCGCAAGGUUGAAACUCAAAGGAAUUGACGGGGACCCGCACAAGCGGUGGAGCAUGUGGUUUAAUUCGAAGCAACGCGAAGAACCUUACCAAAUCUUGACAUCCUUUGACAACUCUAGAGAUAGAGCUUUCCCCUUCGGGGGACAAAGUGACAGGUGGUGCAUGGUUGUCGUCAGCUCGUGUCGUGAGAUGUUGGGUUAAGUCCCGCAACGAGCGCAACCCUUAAGCUUAGUUGCCAUCAUUAAGUUGGGCACUCUAAGUUGACUGCCGGUGACAAACCGGAGGAAGGUGGGGAUGACGUCAAAUCAUCAUGCCCCUUAUGAUUUGGGCUACACACGUGCUACAAUGGACAAUACAAAGGGCAGCGAAACCGUGAGGUCAAGCGAAUCCCAUAAAGUUGUUCUCAGUUCGGAUUGUAGUCUGCAACUCGACUACAUGAAGCUGGAAUCGCUAGUAAUCGUAGAUCAGCAUGCUACGGUGAAUACGUUCCCGGGUCU